GAUGAAGAACGUAGCGAAAUGCGAUAAGUAAUGUGAAUUGCGGAAUUCAGUGAAUCAUCGAAUCUUUGAACGCACAUUGCGCCCCUUGGUAUUCCGAGGGGCAUGCCUGUUCGAGCGUCAUUAUAACCCCUCAAGCUCAGCUUGGUGUUGGGGCCUGCUGCACUGGCAGCCCUUAAAAUCAGUGGCGGCGCCAUCUGGCUCUAAGCGUAGUAAUUUCUCUCGCUAUAGAGUCCCGGUGGAUGCUUGCCAGCAACCCCCAACUUUCUAUGGUUGACCUCGGAUCAGGUAGGGAUACCCGCUGAACUUAAGCAUAUCAAUAAGCGGAGGA
This 328-nucleotide unclassified non-coding RNA is filed under the name soil metagenome. RNAcentral describes it as "partial contains 5.8S ribosomal RNA, internal transcribed spacer 2, and large subunit ribosomal RNA". The stretch from base 1 to 120 matches the Rfam family "5.8S ribosomal RNA", at positions 35 to 154 of the family's 154-position model. The record is from RNAcentral.